GUGUCAGCAGCCGCGGUAAUACGGAGGGUGCGAGCGUUGUUCGGAAUCAUUGGGCGUAAAGGGCGUGUAGGUGGUCUGUUAAGUCAUGUGUGAAAGCCCCCGGCUCAACCGGGGAAGUGCGCAUGAAACUGACAAGCUAGAGUACCGAAGAGGAGGGUGGAAUUCCAGGUGUAGCGGUGAAAUGCGUAGAUAUCUGGAGGAACACCGGUGGCGAAGGCGGCCCUCUGGUCGGAUACUGACGCUAAAACGCGAAAGCGUGGGGAGCAAACAGGAUUAGAAACCCGAGUAGUCC
Molecule: ribosomal RNA, 292 nt
Filed under: uncultured bacterium
Lineage: Bacteria
Description: partial 16S ribosomal RNA
Rfam family: Bacterial small subunit ribosomal RNA
Source: RNAcentral